CAACUUCAUCACCCUUUUUCUCCCUCAUAUCUAUGGUCACCACCACCUCCAAUGAAAAAACCAAUUUCAUAUUCGUAUUUCUCAUCUCCCGGACUUCCUAGUGAACCUGUUAGAUUUUUGUUUCGAUGGAUUUCAAAAAGAAGUAGCGCCAAAGUGUGGUGGACGAAAGAAAAUUGUGGUUGGAGGUAGUGGUUACUUUAAGAAAUUUCUUUUGUCGGCGUAUUUAGCUAUUUCGGCUUCGGAGCUCUCUGUGGCUUCAAUUUGAAUUUGAUCAAAUUGCUAUUGGAGCUGCUUAAUGCUAUUAAUGCUAUAAAGGAAAUUGUUGAGGAAUGAGGAGGUUAUUGAAGUUUGUGGUGGUUGCACAUUGCUUAAACUUGCAUUAAAGGUGGAUUUUCAAUCAAGGAAAUUCUUGCAAAUGAUGAAGAAAAAGUUGGAGCAGACAUUGUUAAAAAAGCUCUUAGUUACCGUCUGAAAUUAAAAGUUAAGAAUGUCGGUGUAAAACAUCAGAC
Long non-coding RNA from Vicia villosa (hairy vetch), 509 nucleotides. RefSeq lists it as uncharacterized. NCBI's taxonomy places the organism in Eukaryota, Viridiplantae, Streptophyta, Magnoliopsida, Fabales, Fabaceae. The record is from RefSeq and is a predicted model, not a curated record. The transcript is spliced from 4 exons.